This 233-nucleotide long non-coding RNA is filed under the name Carica papaya (papaya). RNAcentral's name for it is "long non-coding RNA (CPAP_LNC001267)". Lineage: Eukaryota; Viridiplantae; Streptophyta; Magnoliopsida; Brassicales; Caricaceae. The record is from RNAcentral.
UACCCCAUCCGGUAUGAGACAACGUUCACGAUAAGGCUCCCUAUUGUACUCGGUCCAUCCACCAUUUUCUAGGAUAUCCAGUAAGGCUGUCGUUUCAUCCAUUCACUUAAUCACACAGUUCCCAUUUACCUUUAAUCUCGAAUUUCCUAAUUCAACCGUAAUCACAUAAACAAACAAACAUGCAUCAGGGAAUGCAAUCAUAUCUCAGUUUCCUAAUUUAAUAGUAGUCACAU